UUGUGGUUAAAAAGCCCGUAGUUGGAUCUCAACAGCCUUGAAGCGGUUAACUUUGUAGUUUUACUGCUUUAUAGGCUGUGCUUUUGCUGGAGGUUUAGGGGUGCUCUUGAUCGAGUGUCUCUGGAUGCCAGCAGGUUUACUUUGAAAAAAUUAGAGUGCUCAAAGCAGGCUAAAAUGCCUGAAUAUUCGUGCAUGGAAUAAUAGAAUAGGAUGUCGAUCCUAUUUUGUUGGUUUUCGGGACUCGACAUAAUGAUAAAUAGGGACAGUCGGGGGCAUUUGUAUUCAAACGACAGAGGUGAAAUUCUUGGACCGUUUGAAGACAAACUACUGCGAAAGCAUUUGCCAAGAAUGUUUUCAUUAAUCAAGAACGAAGUUAGAGGUUCGAAGGC
RNAcentral lists this ribosomal RNA (389 nucleotides) under uncultured marine eukaryote. RNAcentral's name for it is "SSU rRNA". It matches the Rfam family "Eukaryotic small subunit ribosomal RNA", at positions 613 to 1005 of the family's 1831-position model. The record is from RNAcentral.